This 23-nucleotide non-coding RNA is filed under the name Arabidopsis thaliana (thale cress). The record is from RNAcentral. Lineage: Eukaryota; Viridiplantae; Streptophyta; Magnoliopsida; Brassicales; Brassicaceae.
CACAUCCGUUACAGUUCCGUUGC